UAGGGAAUCUUCCGCAAUGGACGCAAGUCUGACGGAGCAACGCCGCGUGAGUGAAGAAGGAUUUCGGUUCGUAAAACUCUGUUGUUAGAGAAGAACAGCGCAUAGAGUAACUGUUAUGCGUGUGACGGUAUCUAACCAGAAAGCCACGGCUAACUACGUGCCAGCAGGCGCGGUAAUACGUAGGUGGCAAGCGUUGUCCGGAUUUAUUGGGCGUAAAGCGAGCGCAGGCGGUCAAUUAAGUCUGAUGUGAAAGCCCCCGGCUCAACCGGGGAGGGUCAUUGGAAACUGGUUGACUUGAGUGCAGAAGAGGAGAGUGGAAUUCCAUGUGUAGCGGUGAAAUGCGUAGAUAUAUGGAGGAACACCAGUGGCGAAGGCGACUCUCUGGUCUGUAACUGACGCUGAGGUUCGAAAGCGUGGGUAGCAAACAGG
This 429-nucleotide ribosomal RNA is filed under the name Bacteroidota bacterium. Its description in RNAcentral is "Bacteroidetes bacterium partial 16S ribosomal RNA". It matches the Rfam family "Bacterial small subunit ribosomal RNA", at positions 355 to 776 of the family's 1533-position model. The record is from RNAcentral. Lineage: Bacteria; Pseudomonadati; Bacteroidota.